CCUACGGGGGGCAGCAGUGGGGAAUAUUGGGCAAUGGGCGCAAGCCUGACCCAGCAACGCCGCGUGAAGGAAGAAGGCUUUCGGGUUGUAAACUUCUUUUGUCAGGGAAGAGUAGAAGACUGUACCUGGCGAAUAAGCCACGGCUAACUACGUGCCAGCAGCCGCGGUAAUACGUAGGUGGCAAGCGUUGUCCGGAUUUACUGGGUGUAAAGGGCGUGUAGCCGGGAAGGCAAGUCAGAUGUGAAAUCUGGAGGCUCAACCUCCAAACUGCAUUUGAAACUGUUUUUCUUGAGUAUCGGAGAGGCAAUCGGAAUUCCUAGUGUAGCGGUGAAAUGCGUAGAUAUUAGGAGGAACACCAGUGGCGAAGGCGGAUUGCUGGACGACAACUGACGGUGAGGCGCGAAAGCGUGGGGAGCAAACAGGAUUAGAUACCCCGGU
This 438-nucleotide ribosomal RNA is filed under the name uncultured bacterium. RNAcentral's name for it is "bacterial SSU rRNA". It matches the Rfam family "Bacterial small subunit ribosomal RNA", at positions 338 to 791 of the family's 1533-position model. The record is from RNAcentral.